This 489-nucleotide ribosomal RNA is filed under the name uncultured bacterium. RNAcentral's name for it is "partial 16S ribosomal RNA". It matches the Rfam family "Bacterial small subunit ribosomal RNA", at positions 30 to 506 of the family's 1533-position model. The record is from RNAcentral.
AUUGAACGCUGGCGGCAGGCCUAACACAUGCAAGUCGAAUGGUAACAGGAAACAGCUUGCUGUUUCGCUGACGAGUGGCGGACGGGUGAGUAAUGUCUGGGAAACUGCCUGAUGGAGGGGGAUAACUACUGGAAACGGUAGCUAAUACCGCAUAACGUCGCAAGACCAAAGAGGGGGACCUUCGGGCCUCUUGCCAUCAGAUGUGCCCAGAUGGGAUUAGCUAGUAGGUGGGGUAACGGCUCACCUAGGCGACGAUCCCUAGCUGGUCUGAGAGGAUGACCAGCCACAAGGGAACGGGGACACGGGCCAAACUCCCACGGGAGGCAGCGGUGGGGAAUUUUGCACAAUGGGCGAAAGCCUGAGGCAGCCAGGCCGCGGGUAUGAAGAAGGCCUUCGGGUUGUAAAGUACCUUCAGCGGGGAGGAAGGGAGUAAAGUUAAUACCUUUGCCCAUUGACUUUACCCGCAAAAGAAGCACCGGCUAACCCCGU